Non-coding RNA from Danio rerio (zebrafish), 633 nucleotides. NCBI's taxonomy places the organism in Eukaryota, Metazoa, Chordata, Actinopteri, Cypriniformes, Danionidae. The record is from RefSeq and is a predicted model, not a curated record.
UAUAUGUAACGAAAUAAGUAUAUACCAUGUUAAUAGUUCAGUAUUAAAUCCUGCUUUAAUGGGAGUGCAGUUCCUGCUAGUUCGCCGGUGGCGCUAUUGCGCACAGAGUCUGUGUAUAGACUGCAGCAGAGUUAGGGAGAACUGCUGUGGAUGUGGAUGCUAAAUUAAACCGUGUUGAUCUCACUGUUACUGCUCUGUGUGCAGGGCAAAAUAAAAUCCUCCUCAUCCGAGUCCAGUGUGUGUGUAUUGCUGAAGGGUGAAUGAAGUGGGUUCGGGAGUGAAGUAUAAAGGUCACAUAUAUAUACUAAGUAAAUAAUAAGUAAAACAUUGCACCUUCAUUACAGCAUAUAUUAAUACAUGCAACAGUCUAUUUAGUUUGAAGGAACCUUUAUAUCUAUGUAAAAUUUAUGUAGACAAUGCAGCACUAAUAAUGUGAGAGCAUGUGUUUGGCCAUGGACAGAAAAGAAGUAAAGACAACUAUACAUAAAGUAUACAGAUAUUUGUUAAACUAAUUUCCAUGACCUUUCCAAAACUUUAUGGGUUUUUCAGAUUCUCCAAAACUUUUCCAGGCCUGGAAAAUGCCAUGUCAAAAUUCCAUGACUUUUCCAGGUUUUUCAUGACCGUAUGAACCCU